Molecule: ribosomal RNA, 420 nt
Filed under: uncultured eukaryote
Lineage: Eukaryota
Description: SSU rRNA
Rfam family: Eukaryotic small subunit ribosomal RNA
Source: RNAcentral
CAAUAGCGUAUAUUAAAGUUGUUGCGGUUAAAAGCUCGUAGUUGGAUUUCUGCUGAGGACGACCGGUCCGCCCUCCGGGUGAGCAUCUGGUUCGGCCUUGGCAUCUUCUUGGUGAACGUAUCUGCACUUGACUGUGUGGUGCGGUACCCAGGACUUUUACUUUGAGGAAAUUAGAGUGUUUCAAGCAGGCAUACGCCUUGAAUACAUUAGCAUGGAAUAAUAAGAUAGGACCUCGGUUCUAUUUUGUUGGUUUCUAGAGCUGAGGUAAUGAUUAAUAGGGACAGUUGGGGGCAUUUUUAUUCCAUUGUCAGAGGUGAAAUUCUUGGAUUAACGGAAGAAAACUACUGCGAAAGCAUCUGCCAAGGAUGUUUUCAUUGAUCAAGAACGAAAGUUAGGGGAUCGAAGACGAUUAGAUACCAU